GCCUUCGGGUUGUAAAGCACUUUUAUCAGGAGCGAAACGCUGUCGGCUAAUACCCGGCGGAACUGACGGUACCUGAGGAAUAAGCACCGGCUAACUUCGUGCCAGCAGCCGCGGUAAUACGAAGGGUGCAAGCGUUAAUCGGAAUUACUGGGCGUAAAGCGUGCGUAGGCGGUUAUUUAAGUCUGUUGUGAAAUCCCCGGGCUCAACCUGGGAAUGGCAAUGGAUACUGGAUAGCUAGAGUGUGAUAGAGGAUGGUGGAAUUCCCGGUGUAGCGGUGAAAUGCGUAGAGAUCGGGAGGAACAUCAGUGGCGAAGGCGGCCAUCUGGAUCAACACUGACGCUGAGGCACGAAAGCGUGGGGAGCAAACAGGAUUAGAUACCCUGGUAGUCCACGCCCUAAACGAUGCGAACUGGAUGUUGGUCUCAACUCGGAGAUCAGUGUCGAAGCUAACGCGUUAAGUUCGCCGCCUGGGGAGUACGGUCGCAAGACUGAAACU
This 496-nucleotide ribosomal RNA is filed under the name uncultured bacterium. RNAcentral's name for it is "bacterial SSU rRNA". It matches the Rfam family "Bacterial small subunit ribosomal RNA", at positions 414 to 901 of the family's 1533-position model. The record is from RNAcentral.